RNAcentral lists this ribosomal RNA (253 nucleotides) under uncultured bacterium. RNAcentral describes it as "partial 16S ribosomal RNA". It matches the Rfam family "Bacterial small subunit ribosomal RNA", at positions 524 to 776 of the family's 1533-position model. The record is from RNAcentral.
UACAUAGGUCUCAAGCGUUGUUCGGAUUCAUUGGGCGUAAAGGGUGCGUAGGCGGCGCGGUAAGUUGGGUGUGAAAUCUCGGAGCUUAACUCCGAAACUGCAUUCGAUACUGCCGUGCUUGAGGACUGGAGAGGAGACUGGAAUUUACGGUGUAGCGGUGAAAUGCGUAGAUAUCAGGAGGAACACCGGUGGCGAAGGCGGUUCUCUGGGCAUUACCUGACGCUGAGGAGCGAAAGCAUGGGGAGCAAACAGG